UACGUAGGUGGCAAGCGUUGUCCGGAUUUACUGGGCGUAAAGAGCACGCAGGCGGUCGUUCAAGUCGAAUGUGAAAGCCCCCGGCUCAACUGGGGAGGGUCAUUCGAUACUGAUCGACUUGAAGGCAGGAGAGGGAAGCGGAAUUCCCGGUGUAGUGGUGAAAUGCGUAGAUAUCGGGAGGAACACCAGUGGCGAAGGCGGCUUCCUGGCCUGUUCUUGACGCUGAUGUGCGAAAGCCAGGGGAGCAAAC
This 250-nucleotide ribosomal RNA is filed under the name uncultured bacterium. RNAcentral describes it as "partial 16S ribosomal RNA". It matches the Rfam family "Bacterial small subunit ribosomal RNA", at positions 524 to 773 of the family's 1533-position model. The record is from RNAcentral.